RNAcentral lists this ribosomal RNA (469 nucleotides) under uncultured bacterium. Its description in RNAcentral is "bacterial SSU rRNA". It matches the Rfam family "Bacterial small subunit ribosomal RNA", at positions 331 to 793 of the family's 1533-position model. The record is from RNAcentral.
ACGCACUCCUACGGGAGGCAGCAUGGGGGAAUAUUGCACAAUGGGCGCAAGCCUGAUGCAGCCAUGCCGCGUGUAUGAAGAAGGCCUUCGGGUUGUAAAGUACUUUCAGCAGUGAGGAAGGUGGGUAUGUUAAUAGCAUAUUCAUUUGACGUUAGCUGCAGAAGAAGCACCGGCUAACUCCGUGCCAGCAGCCGCGGUAAUACGGAGGGUGCGAGCGUUAAUCGGAAUUACUGGGCGUAAAGCGCAUGCAGGUGGUUUGUUAAGUCAGAUGUGAAAGCCCGGGGCUCAACCUCGGAAUUGCAUUUGAAACUGGCAAACUAGAGUACUGUAGAGGGGGUAGAAUUUCAGGUGUAGCGGUGAAAUGCGUAGAGAUCUGAAGGAAUACCGGUGGCGAAGGCGGCCCCCUGGACAGAUACUGACACUCAGAUGCGAAAGCGUGGGGAGCAAACAGGAUUAGAUACCCUGGUAG